UGCGCAGGCGGCCGUGUGUGUGAGGCGUGAAAGCCUGGAGCUUAACUCCAGAAUUGCACCUCAAACUACACGGCUAGAGCAUUGGAGAGGGUAGCGGAAUUCACGGUGUAGCAGUGAAAUGCGUAGAUAUCGUGAGGAACACCAGAGGCGAAGGCGGCUACCUGGACAAUUGCUGACGCUCAGGCACGAAAGCGUGGGGAGCAAAAGGGAUUAGAUACCCCUGUAGUCCACGCCCUAAACGGUGCACACUAGGUCUUGGCGGAUUCGACCCCACCAGGGCCCAAGCUAACGCGUUAAGUGUGCCGCCUGAGGACUACGGCCGCAAGGCUAAA
This 332-nucleotide ribosomal RNA is filed under the name uncultured bacterium. RNAcentral describes it as "bacterial SSU rRNA". It matches the Rfam family "Bacterial small subunit ribosomal RNA", at positions 568 to 898 of the family's 1533-position model. The record is from RNAcentral.